RNAcentral lists this ribosomal RNA (253 nucleotides) under uncultured bacterium. RNAcentral's name for it is "partial 16S ribosomal RNA". It matches the Rfam family "Bacterial small subunit ribosomal RNA", at positions 524 to 776 of the family's 1533-position model. The record is from RNAcentral.
UACGUAGGGUGCAAGCGUUAAUCGGAAUUACUGGGCGUAAAGCGUGCGCAGGCGGUGAUGCAAGACAGAUGUGAAAUCCCCGGGCUCAACCUGGGAACUGCGUUUGUGACUGCAUCGCUGGAGUGCGGCAGAGGGGGAUGGAAUUCCGCGUGUAGCAGUGAAAUGCGUAGAUAUGCGGAGGAACACCGAUGGCGAAGGCAAUCCCCUGGGCCUGCACUGACGCUCAUGCACGAAAGCGUGGGGAGCAAACAGG